GACGAACCGUGCGAACGUUAUUCGGAAUCACUGGGCUUAAAGGGCGCGUAGGCGGGCUGUCAAGUCUGGGGUGAAAUCCCGCGGCUCAACCGUGGAACUGCCUUAGAUACUGACGGCCUCGAGGAAGGUAGGGGCAUGCGGAACUGUAGGUGGAGCGGUGAAAUGCGUUGAUAUCUACAGGAACUCCGGUGGCGAAAGCGGCGUGCUGGACCUUUUCUGACGCUGAGGCGCGAAAGCUAGGGGAGCAAACGGG
Molecule: ribosomal RNA, 253 nt
Filed under: uncultured bacterium
Lineage: Bacteria
Description: partial 16S ribosomal RNA
Rfam family: Bacterial small subunit ribosomal RNA
Source: RNAcentral